GUGGGGAAUCUUCCGCAAUGGACGAAAGUCUGACGGAGCGACGCCGCGUGAGUGAAGAAGGCCUUCGGGUCGUAAAGCUCUGUCAUCAGGGACGAACGGCCGGUGGAGUGGAAAGCCACCGGAUUGACGGUACCUGAGAAGGAAGCCACGGCUAACUACGUGCCAGCAGCCGCGGUAAUACGUAGGUGGCAAGCGUUGUCCGGAAUUAUUGGGCGUAAAGCGCGCGCAGGUGGGAUCUUAAGUCCAUUUUGAAAGUUCGGAGCUCAACUCCGUGAUGGGAUGGAAACUGGGAUUCUUGAGUACCGGAGAGGAAAGCGGAAUUCCCCGUGUAGCGGUGAAAUGCGUAGAUAUGGGGAGGAACACCAGUGGCGAAGGCGGCUUUCUGGACGAAAACUGACGCUGAGGCGCGAAAGCCAGGGGAGCGAACGGGAUUAGAAACCCCUGUAGUCC
RNAcentral lists this ribosomal RNA (450 nucleotides) under uncultured bacterium. Its description in RNAcentral is "partial 16S ribosomal RNA". It matches the Rfam family "Bacterial small subunit ribosomal RNA", at positions 354 to 796 of the family's 1533-position model. The record is from RNAcentral.